UCGAACGAGAAAGUGGUAGCAUACCAUGAGUAAAGUGGCGCACGGGUGAGUAACACGUGACUAACCUACCCUGGAGUGGGGGAUAACUGAGGGAAACCUUAGCUAAUACCGCAUAAUACCUACGGGUCAAAGGAGCAAUUCGCUUUGGGAGGGGGUCGCGGCCGAUUAGUUAGUUGGCGGGGUAAUGGCCCACCAAGACUGUGAUCGGUAUCCGGCCUGAGAGGGCGCACGGACACACUGGAACUGAAACACGGUCCAGACUCCUACGGGAGGCAGCAGUGGGGAAUUUUGCGCAAUGGGGGAAACCCUGACGCAGCAACGCCGCGUGGAGGAUGAAGUACUUCGGUACGUAAACUCCUUUCGAUCGGGACGAUAAUGACGGUACCGGAAGAAGAAGCCCCGGCUAACUUCGUGCCAGCAGCCGCGGUAAUACGAGGGGGGCAAGCGUUGUUCGGAAUUAUUGGGCGUAAAGGGUGCGUAGGCGGUUUGGUAAGUCUUUUGUGAAAUCUAUGGGCUCAACUCAUAGACUGCAAGGGAAACUGCCGGGCUUGAGUGUGGGAGAGGUGAGUGGAAUUUCCGGUGUAGCGGUGAAAUGCGUAGAUAUCGGAAGGAACACCUGUGGCGAAAGCGGCUCACUGGACCACAACUGACGCUGAUGCACGAAAGCUAGGGGAGCAAACAGGAUUAGAUACCCUGGUAGUCCUAGCCCUAAACGAUGACUGCUUGGUGUGACGGGU
RNAcentral lists this ribosomal RNA (737 nucleotides) under uncultured bacterium. Its description in RNAcentral is "bacterial SSU rRNA". It matches the Rfam family "Bacterial small subunit ribosomal RNA", at positions 62 to 830 of the family's 1533-position model. The record is from RNAcentral.